Molecule: ribosomal RNA, 490 nt
Filed under: uncultured bacterium
Lineage: Bacteria
Description: partial 16S ribosomal RNA
Rfam family: Bacterial small subunit ribosomal RNA
Source: RNAcentral
GAUGAACGCUAGCUACAGGCUUAACACAUGCAAGUCGCGGGGCAGCAUGGGGGUUGCUUGCAAUCCCCGAUGGCGACCGGCGCACGGGUGAGUAACGCGUAUCCAACCUGCCCUUCACCACGGGAUAACCCGGCGAAAGUCGGACUAAUACCGUAUGUUGUCCAUUGACGGCAUCCGAUUUGGACGAAAGGUUUGGCGGUGAAGGAUGGGGAUGCGUCCGAUUGGCUGGACGGCGGGGUGACGGCACACCGUGGCGACGAUCGGGAGGGGAGCGGAGAGGCAGGUCCCCCACACUGGAACUGCGACACAGUCCAGACUCCUACGGGAGGCAGCGGUGAGGAAUAUUGGGGAAUGGGCGUAAGCCUGAACCAGCCAAGCAGCGUGCAGGAGGACGGCCCUAUGGGUUGUAAACUGCUUUUAUGCGGGGAUAAAGUGGGCCACGUGUGGGUUUUUGCAGGUACCGCAUGAAUAAGGACCGGCUAAUUCCGUG